Long non-coding RNA from Cebus imitator (Panamanian white-faced capuchin), 2397 nucleotides. RefSeq lists it as uncharacterized. The transcript has 3 exons. NCBI's taxonomy places the organism in Eukaryota, Metazoa, Chordata, Mammalia, Primates, Cebidae. The record is from RefSeq and is a predicted model, not a curated record.
ACCAAACUGCAGUGAGGCUUAUUUGAGCUCAGUGUGGAUGUUUUAGGCUCACACACGGCAUCCCCAGCCUGGUGAGAGGCGAACUGCCCUUUGCCACAGAUGCAUCCUCAGAGGUGGAGGCUAUAAUCAGGUCACUCAGCAAAUGUCCAGCACCUCCUUGGUGCCAGGCUCACCAUGCUGAGUCCUGGGGCUGCGGCCUUGAAUGAGAGUGCUGGGUUCCUGGCAUCUCAGUACCUGCAGAACCAUGCAGGAGGUAGAGGCAGCAAACGCAGGGCGGGUGAGUCACAGUGGGGCAGGAGAGUCAAGUGGUGUGCAGCCACAGAGGGGCAGACAAGGACUCGUUUAGACAGGGCUGUCAAAAAGACCUUGUUGAGGAGGUGGGCCUGGAACCAGCCAUAACUAUAAAUCCUGAGUGUGAAAUCCCAGAGCUGAAAGUAACCUCGAAGUCACAGGGUAUAACUACACUGGUCACAGAUGCAGAGAUUGCAGGACCAGAACAGAACCUCCUGUGGGAAGAGGCAGAGCCACCGCAGGACCCAGGAGACUGGGUUCCCAGGGCUAUCCUGCCUUUUGCAGGGAGACUCGCCUAUGGGUUCUACUGUAUAAGGUAGAUUCUGAGACGGAAGGAUCUCUCCAAUUCCUAGAUUGUAGAAUUCAGAAACCGAGAGCGAGGCAGCAUUUGCCACACGUGGCAAAUUCACCAGGUCAUGAAUCCUGUCAUAGACUGAGUUUUCUGGAUUAACAAAUUACAUCAAUUCCAAGUCAAUGGAUACCAAACCAUCUUGACUUUCUACUGCAUUGACUCAGCCAAGAAAUUAGCUCACCUCCUGAGAGGUGGGUGGAGGCCUGCCAGAGGUUUAUAGAAACCUUCUGAGGAGCUGCUCUGCUAAGGGUGAGCUUGGCGCUCCUUGCAUUCCCGGGGCCUUCCCUCUGAAGAAUGCAUUGCUGGAGAGGAGCCCUUGCUUUUAGUUCUCAGCUCUCAAGAGUAGGUGCUUUCCUCUGAGCCUGGAGUCUUGUCUUUGUCAAUAAGGCCACUUAUGGAGGCUUGGAAGUUGUGUGGAAGAGGCCAGGGGAGGAGGAUCUGGCUGGAGCAGCUGGGGUAGAGAAAACCCCCACCAUCCAGGAGCCCUGGCUCCAGAAAUAGUAGAAUGAAGGGUGAAGGGCAGUGAGAGGACCCCAGCCAUCUUAGCUGAACUGCACCGAGGCUUCCUGCAGAACUGGGCUCCUCUUGCUAACCUUGGGCCCCUUUCCAUGUGUUCAAGGCUCUCCUUGGAGUCAUGUUGUCCAGUUAUGUGGCACUUGUGGGGCUGAGCUCAGAUCUGGGGUUUGCAGGAUUCAAGACGCCUUCACAUGGGGUAGAGCCUAGAUGUGGCAUGGGGGACAGCUCAUGCAUGAGGUGCAUUUGGCCUUGAGAAGAGACCCAGAGGGGAGGAGGCUGGUCCAGUGCUGGGAGGACAGUCCUAUGGAGCAUUAGGAAUAUCAGCAGGGUAAGUUUCAGACUCUGGUUCCUACAAGACCAGGCAACUUCAGUCGUGUCCUGCUCAGAGGAGGCAUCUCGCACCGGCUGGUCUUGUGGAUAAUCGCACAACUGGUCAUGAGAAAUGCUACGGUGUGGCCUGUCACAGGAGCCGACGUCACACAUAUUUAAGGCUAACACACAUCUGGAGCUUUGAUAGGGCUGUGCUUAUGUCUGCCUUUCACAGAAGAGCAGAAAUGGAGAAAUGAGAGGCCAGGGUGGGUCUGAGGCCAUUCUCCAGUCACUUCAGGCUUGGCUCGCAGCCCGACUUCCUGCCCCACAGCCUCCUGCCCCUGCCGCCAGAACGGCUGAGGCUGCUGAUGACAAAGCCACAGCUCACAGGCUGACAAUUUUGUCUGGACUUCUAUCAAGGCCGGGACGGCAGUCAAUAGCACAUGCAGGAAAUUUUAAAAGAUCAAGAGCAGCUAACAACAAAAUCCACUAUGGGAUGUUUUUAACCAAACAAUCAAGGAUUCAGUGCUUUCCGGGGGUGAGGACCAAAACAGAGCAGGACCGGCAGCCAGCAUCACCUCUUCCAUCUUCCGUCUGUCCUGAACCAGGCAGUACAGCCUAAAAAUAGCGCCUGGACCUCACACCAUCAGUGCUUUUGUUACUUAUUCUCUUUGGUCUUUUGAAAAACAUAUUCAUCGGGACUGAGAGUCUCCCAUCAUUUGUAUUUAUAGAGUCCUUUUUUUCUGAAGUCGUGAACGUGCCUAUUCUCAUUUCUGGGAAGUCAGUGGCAGGACUUCGGUGAGGGGAAAGUGGCUUCAGCUGGGUUAUGGAGGGAGGUGGUAGAAGAGUGAGGUGAGAGCACCAGGCAUCUGGGGAUGGAGCCCGUGAGGGCUCAGUGGCUUUCUGACUCUUCCUAAGAAAGAACAGUG